GACGAACGCUGGCGGCGUGCCUAAUACAUGCAAGUCGAGCGAAUCAAUAGGAGCUUGCUCCUGUUGAUUAGCGGCGGACGGGUGAGUAACACGUGGGCAACCUGCCUGUAAGACUGGGAUAACACCGGGAAACCGGUGCUAAUACCGGAUAAUCCUUUUCCUCUCAUGAGGGAAAGCUGAAAGUCGGUUUCGGCUGACACUUACAGAUGGGCCCGCGGCGCAUUAGCUAGUUGGUGAGGUAACGGCUCACCAAGGCGACGAUGCGUAGCCGACCUGAGAGGGUGAUCGGCCACACUGGGACUGAGACACGGCCCAGACUCCUACGGGAGGCAGCAGUAGGGAAUCUUCCACAAUGGACGAAAGUCUGAUGGAGCAACGCCGCGUGAGCGAUGAAGGCCUUCGGGUCGUAAAGCUCUGUUGUUAGGGAAGAACAAGUACCGGAGUAACUGCCGGUACCUUGACGGUACCUAACCAGAAAGCCACGGCUAACUACGUGCCAGCCGCCGCCGUAA
This 512-nucleotide ribosomal RNA is filed under the name uncultured bacterium. RNAcentral describes it as "partial 16S ribosomal RNA". It matches the Rfam family "Bacterial small subunit ribosomal RNA", at positions 28 to 523 of the family's 1533-position model. The record is from RNAcentral.